GGAGUGUAGGUGAGUGGUAGAAUGCUUGCCUAGCAUGUGUGAGGUCCUGGGUUCAAUCCCCAGAACCCA
Molecule: transfer RNA, 69 nt
Filed under: Marmota monax (woodchuck)
Lineage: Eukaryota; Metazoa; Chordata; Mammalia; Rodentia; Sciuridae
Description: tRNA.Ala
Source: RNAcentral